AACCAUAGAAACCUGCGGAGUACCUGCGGAGGGAUCAUUACUUUCAGUACUUUGGAGGCUGUCAGUCUAUAUCACUAUAGCAAGCCUCCGUCUGAAACCCUUGUCUUUUGCGUACCUUAUGUUUCCUCGGCGGGCUCGCCCGCCGGUUGGACAACCUUAAAACCUUUUUAAUUUUCAAUCAGCGUCUGAAAAAACUUAAUAAUUACAACUUUUAACAACGGAUCUCAGAUCGGAAGAGCA
This 240-nucleotide unclassified non-coding RNA is filed under the name soil metagenome. Its description in RNAcentral is "partial contains 5.8S ribosomal RNA, internal transcribed spacer 2, and large subunit ribosomal RNA". The record is from RNAcentral.